UGGGUUACAGAUCCACCGAAGUGGGUUGCCUUAACCGAUGUGUUUGCUAACAAGGAAAAGCCCGAAGGCUGUUCCCGUCCCUGUCAGGGGAGAUGCCAACCAUCUCUCCUUUCUACGAACACAGCCAACAGCAGGAACAAACAAUAUAUAAACCGUAUUAUAACCUUUUAGGUAUCCGAUGUGGGACAACAAAGGCAUUCAUUUACAUUCCAUUCACCUCACCUCCCACACCGUCGCUGCCACCGCUAGAGGACGAAGAUGAUGAAUUCUCUCCCGUUGGAUCCCUUGACUUACACGUGGAUCUUCCUCAGCACUCCUAUCAACCCCACCGAUGACCUUCGCCUCUCUCACCGAUGAUCUUCCUCAAGCCUCUACUAUUCCUAGAGUUAAUUCUUGGCACUGUGGACUUUGUUGUUGGAGUAGGAUUGUGCCUGUUCGCCUCAUGGGUGAGGAUUAGGCAUUGAAUCCUAAACAAUAUUGGUCUUGUGACAUUCUCAACAUUGCUGCUCUUCUUAGUGGACUGCUGUGCUUGGAAAAUACUCAGAUUACCCGUGGCACCAUUCUUUAUGAUGCGCACCUUUCUCAUAUCUGCAGUUGCAGUGUCCUGCAAUGGCUAUACAGUAUACUAGGAUUUUCUUCUGUGGAAGUUUUGGGAGCAUCUGUAGCAACUCUUGCAUUUGCCACAAUUGGAUUUCUUGAUGAUUUAGUAACCCUCAAGAAUAACAAGUUAACAACCUUGGUUUAUCUGCUUGGUUUAGAAUUCUCUUGGAGGUGAGUGGUUAUACAUCUCCCACUGCUUUCAACCUUUUCUUAAAUCUUAUUGUUAAAGGCAUUAUCUUUUUCAACUCUGAGGAUUAAUCUUUAGUUUUGUAUUACACAGGUAGCUGUAGGGAUAUGGUUCUUUUGGUUGAACUUAAUGCACGAGUGCACUUUUUAUUUUUUAUUUUUAUGUUAUCCUUUGGUGGUCAGUCAUAUAUUUCAUUCUGUAGCCAUGACCUUCUUAACUGCUUCUAUCCUUAUGGAAACUUGGGAUCUGUAGAUGAACUAUCUAAUGCAACUUGAAUGCGUCUAAAUGUCUAAUCCAAUUCGAUCCACUCCACUAAUAGUAGAUUGGAUGCGGACCAAAUGACGAAUUUGAAGUUUUAACAUGAAGCAGUGUUCAUUUAUA
Molecule: long non-coding RNA, 1168 nt
Organism: Ipomoea triloba (trilobed morning glory)
Lineage: Eukaryota; Viridiplantae; Streptophyta; Magnoliopsida; Solanales; Convolvulaceae
Exons: 4
Source: RefSeq, a predicted model, not a curated record